Molecule: long non-coding RNA, 11569 nt
Organism: Eriocheir sinensis (Chinese mitten crab)
Lineage: Eukaryota; Metazoa; Arthropoda; Malacostraca; Decapoda; Varunidae
Exons: 2
Source: RefSeq, a predicted model, not a curated record
UGGCGGCAGCAGCCCGGGGCGCCUGUACGGGGACGGGGCUAGGCAGGGCGGGGUGGGGCGGGAUGCAGGUGUGGGGCUUGGUAUCUGCUUCAGCAGGGGCGGCAGGGGCAGCAGAAGCAGAAGCAGCACCAACAGCAGCAGCCGAGGCCGGGAGGGCGGGCGGGAGGGUGUAGGGUGGCAUUGAUCUUGCGAGCCGGGCCGCCUCCACCCGGGAAUCAAUACCCGCCGCCACCACACCGGGGCCGGCCUUACACCUGUGUGUGUGUGUGUGUGUGUGAUACAGAUAUUGUCCAAGCACUAAUCUACCAAAACCUUUUCCGCGUCCCACAUAAAACCGGGAUCUUCUUUAGAACUAGGCGGGGUGGGGCUGGGGGCCGCACUUGGCGGGGCUGCGGAGGCCAGAGGGGCGGUAUUUUUAAGCCCGGCAUUUAAUACAGCAAAAACAGGUCGGGGGAGCCGAGGGGGACCAGAAAUAACCAUCAUGUGUAAAGCCGUAGGCGAUGUGCACUUCAGCCCCCGUCCUACGCCGGGCGGCGGUGCCGCGGGGGGAGGAGGGUCAGGUCACGGGUGACAGCGUCAGGUCAUAGCGGGAAGUUACCAACGAGGCAGACUGACUAAUUAGGAUGAAUAAACGGGUCAUCUUUAGGCAGGGAACGACAGACAGGCAGAACAUGAAAGAAGCCUUCCCUGGCGUGCCGGCUUCUCGCGCGGCGGUGGUGGUGGUGGUGGUGAUGCCUGUCCCCUUAUCUCCACCUCACCUUCUGAUAACCUCCGCCGGUUUUGUCUUAUCUCCCACUGCCUUCCUCUCUCCUUCCCUCACAGUUUACUCAGCUUACCAUUAUUUUCAUUAUUGUGUCCUUUACGUAUCUCCUUUAAUAUAUCAACUGUGAGCAAUGUCUUUCUAGUCUUUAUUUUAUUUUUUCCACCACUGCAUCAGCUCUAAGGAUCGUUACGCCCCUUUUUCUUAAACUCUUGCUUUUCUUGUUUUCAUCAUUGCAUCAGUUAUGAGGAAUUCAUUUCUUUACCGUCUUCUCCAUAACCACAUCAAUUGAGGAACGUGUCAAGGCUUUGUUUCUAGGCAUCCUUGUAUAUUGCCUUUGCCAUCACUGUAGAUCGAGCAAAAGAUUUAAGUUACCAGUAGUCUAUUUAUGGUCGUUUGUUACAAGUCGUCUCUAUAACUGUAGGAGCCCAAUAGUAUAAGGAUAUAAUUCUACUUGUCGUCCUCUAUCAACUAAGUUAGGUUAUUUUACCUUUUUCACUUCUAAUUAACAACUCGGAAUCUCGGAUGCAGGUUAGGGGUCAUUUUUUUAACGCUUACUGUCCAAACUUAGGUUUCUAUUUCACUUUCUAUCAUGUGAUCUCGUCUUUCAACUAAAAAAGAGUUGUUUAUUUCUACCCGUAUUUUUACCUGUUAUCUCCCCAACUGUCUCUUAUCAACCCCAGGAAAUCAGCUCGUUUUGUUUCUUCCUGUUUUUCUGCGGCUAUUCAUAUCCGUUGCUAUUUCAAGUUAGGUCUCCCUUUCCACGUUUUUGUACAUGUUAUCACCAGUAUCUUCCCAUCAGGACCUAGAUUUCGAAAACAAGAAAAAAUGUUCCCAAAAAUUUACGUUGUCGGUUAACUCCAUUUCCAAAAAUUGCCGUUCAGUCAUUUAACUUCAUUCUCAUAAAGUCCCGUUGUCGGUUAGAAGAAAGUGGCGUUCAGUUAACUUCAUUCCCAUUAAGUCCCGUUGUUAGAAGAAAGUGGCGUUAAGUUAACUUCAUUCCCAUCAAGUCCCGUUGUCAGUUAAAAAAGUGGCGUUCAAUCAGUUACAUUCCCAGAAAUUGCCGUUCAGUCAGUUUACUUCAUUUUCAUAAAAGUCCUGUUGUCAGAAAAAGUGGCGUUCAAUUAGUUACAUUCCUAGAAAUUAACAUUCAGUCAGUUAAAUUGAAAGGAAUUCCCGUUCACUUGGUUAAAUUCAGAGACAUUGCCGUUCAGUCAGUAUAUAAGUUACAUUCCCAGAAAUUGAUGUUCAGUCAGAAAGAUACAUUCCCAGAAAGUACCGUUCAGUUAGUUAAAUUCGUAGAAGUUGGCGUGCAGUUAUUUCCCAGCAGUUCUCGUUCAGUUAAAUUCCCCUAAGUUGGCGUUCAGAUAAAUUCCCAGCAGUUUUCGUUCAAUUAGUUAAAUUCCCCGAAAUGGGCGUUCAGAUAAAUUCCCAGCAGUUUUCGUUCAGUUAGUUAAAUUCCCCUAAGUUGGCGUUCAGAUAAAUUCCCAGCAGUUUUCGUUCAGUUAGUUAAAUUCCCCUAAGUUCACUCUUCCUAAGCCCUCCUCAGUGACCUCAAUUCUAGGGGCUCCUUUCUCCCUUAACCGCAGGAGGGAGGAGGGUUGCUGACCUUCCCUUUACCCUUCAGCGGUCUGCCAUUUCUCCAUCUUCAUCCAUUUAUCGCGUCCCUCACGUUCUCCCGUUCUUUUCCAACUCUUGAAUUCCGUACCCUUCAUUCUCCCUCAUUCCUAUUCCUCUCGUGUUUCUACUUUUACUCCGAUAUGGUUGUGUGGCCCCCCUACUUUCUCUCUCUCUCUCUCUCUCUCUCUCUCUCUCUCUCUCUCUCUCUCUCUCUCUCUCUCUCUCUCUCUCCCUCUCCCUCAGGUGUAAAAAUGCUGGAAUACAACUGUCCGUAAGGUAAGCAGGUAACUACGUCAAGCCGCAGGAGACAGGUGGAUCGUUACGCUAUGAAAGGCCGGGGAGAAGAAACCAAAGGGAGAAAAAGUAAGGGGAGCCAUUGUAGGGUUAAAGGGAAGGGGAGGUGUUCUUUUGGCCUGUUUGAUCUAGCAGAAGGGAGGGAGGGAGGAGGAGGAGGGCUGGUUAAAGCGCUACCAUUUAAAUAUUUACCCCAAGUAGACUCUUUCAUCAGCGUUAAUGAGGAGAGUGAGGAGAGUUUUCAAAGGUACACUCGAGUCGCCCCCCCUCCUUAAAGCUCACUGCCCCCCCAACCCUACAGCGACCUGGCCUUGGGUGGGGGAUUUUAUGUUCAGGUCAGGUGGUGAUGGUUAACUUAUAAUGCACUCAGCGCUCUUUAGGACAGAGAUAAAGUUCGUUGAAGUCGAAGGGGUUUCAAGUGCAAAGGGUGGGCUGAUAACUUGCUCCCGCGGCACUGAUAAAGAAGUUAAGUGUGCAGUGCCAUAAGUUCCUGGGAAUAAAAUAAGGGCAAGAGAGGCAAAUAACGAGAACUGAAGUAGAAUAAAAAAAAAAGAGGAAGUAAAAGACGGAUUAAGAUAUUAAGUCCAUGAACACCCGAAGAUUCAUGGGCAAGACUACACCUCCGUCUCAAAGUUCAGCCGAGCGAAGAAAAAAAAGUUAAAGGGAUUAGUCAGAGCUGGAGAUUAGGAUAAUGCAGGGAGUUCCAAAGACUUGUAGAGAUCACCCCGGGCGAAGUACAGAUCCCUUUCAGGUGUAAUUUAGCGAGUUUGUUGUAAAGUAACUAAGGAUAAUGCAAAAAUCACAACCAGGGAGAUUAGGAUAUGCAUGAAAUCCCAAAGAUAUGUUUCCAGAUUAUUACACAACAUAAUCCCCUUUGAAGUUAAUAUUAUUGCGAGAGAUGGUUACGAUAAGAACGCUCACCAAAGUUACACGUUUGUUCAAAGCCCAGAGAUAGACGCCUAGAUUAUCCCAGCAAAGUACAAGAUCCUCCCAAGGCUAAUUUUGUGCAAGAGACAGACUAACGAUAGAAAGGUUCGGGUAAGUCACAAAUUUGAGCCACAUUUCUUAGGGAGUUCGUAUUAUCUAAAUCUGCAAAGGCCCGUUCAAUUUUAACUAUUAGUGUAAGGAAAGCCCCACCAAGAGUAACGAUAAGAAAAUUUGUCAAACUCAUUAAUUUGAACCAGGUCUUUAGGCUCCAAAAGACGUGUCAAGAUUAUCCCAGUCUAUAGUAAUCCCCUCUCACUGUUACUUAGAGGCAAGGAAACGCUCAACAGGAGACAGUAACGACAAGAAAAUUCGUAAAAAUCGCAAGUUUGAGCCAUAUGUUAAGGUCCUCAAAAUAGGUCUGAACAUAAUUCCAGUCUACAAAAAAAUCCCCUUCAUUGUAAACUUCCGAAGAAAAAAAGCUCAUCGCGACAGUUACGAUGGAAAAGUUCGGCAAAGUCACAAGUUCGGACCAGACCUUAAGUCCCCAAAAUCCAUGUUCAUAUCUCGAUCUUCCGAAAUCCGGUUCAAGGUUAGGUUAGUGCAAGGGAAAGCCCAAAGCCCAGGGAGCCUCACGUUCAUCCCCGGUCCAGCGAUAAGCCGCGGGUAAUGAAUCAAGAUAAAGCCACACACAAAAAAAAAGAAAACCCACAGCGAACCUCGAGGCUGGAGAUUUAGGGGAUAAUAAAACCACUUUACUGCCGGGCGUUAAAAAAGAUGAAGCGGAUAUAAAGUGUAAUUAUGAGACGGGCGUGUUGUCUUUUAUGGAAGGUGGAAAGGAGAGUUGCCGUGUUGAAAGUUUGAGGGUGAUUCGUGGGGAUUUGAAGCUUCGGAUGAUGAAGUUCGAAUCGCCGAGGAAAGGAAGCGAGAGAACGAGGUCUAAAGUUAGUUAAAACGGACUAGUGUGCUUCAUGUUGGGUGUUAAGGCGGGGCUAGGGGUCGAUAUGGCAUGGUUGUUAGGGAGAGUUGGGGGUUCAUUCGUUGGUAUUGAAGCUCCGAGUAAUGGGGGUUCGAUCCACGGAAGGGGGCCCUGCAGCGAAAGCACGAGUCUACGUUUAUCUCUUCUACCACUUCGUUAACAGAAUGAAAGAGUUGAUUUGGAAGUUCUUACACACACACACACUGGGAAAAACAUAGAUAACACAACCGGCACUUUAUUCUGUCACAAAUUGCAUAACAAAAGACUAACGUAAAGGAGGGGGUCAUUGCAGCUUAACGACAUGCAUCAGAUAGUGAGACAACAACAUAAUGACAGGUAGUACGACAUGACAAGUAAGAUGAAAGGUCUCUCUCUCUCUCUCUCUCUCUCUCUCUCUCUCUCUCUCUCUCUCAGAACACGAUACCUAUUUAAAACUGAUAAAAAAAACGAGCAAUGUAACAAAAAAGACACAUGGAAAGAUAUUAGGUAACACUGUACUCCGCCAACACUCAGAAUAGCAAUAGACACGCAAUACAAGCCAGCAACUCAAAUAGGCAGCACCAGAGGGCAACACCUAAUCAGACAGCAGCAGGAGCCGACGAAAAACAUCAGAUCCCUUGUCACACGCGAUCCAACCCCUUAUCAUAGGAGGAUUAGCAUGCGGAGCUCCCGGGGACAUGAAAUAUUAAACGCGGACGCCGCUAUCAUGACUGGGUUGACAUGCGUGGAUUGAAAAGAGGAAGAUUGCGUCAUGUCGAUUUUGCAAGAAGAGUUGAUGCCGGUGUUGGUGCAUUCUGAUGACGUUUGUGUGUGUGGGUCGAUUAAUUGAUUCCAUUGUUGGUUUGCGUUUGCUUCACCCAUUGUUAUUGUGUUGUUUUUUUCGAUAAUCCAUAGAACCAUUCUCUCUCUCUCUCUCUCUCUCUCUCUCUCUCUCUCUCUAAAUAGACUGGGAAAAAAUUUCGUCGAUAAAUAUACAGGUAUACAUGCGCGUGUGCGUGUCAGUCAGUCACUCAGGCCAUUCCGUGCAUGCCAGCCACGCCCACACGUCACGGAAUAGCCAGGGGAGGUAGGAAAAGCUGUACCGGCCGGCAGGUUUUACAGGGGGGCGCGAUAGGGAAGUAGGCAGCAAGGAACCAAGAUAGGUAAGGAAAGCCAGCAGGAUGGUAGAGCAACACAGCAAAAUGGGUAAGCCGAGGAGAAAAUAGAUAAAAAAAAAUAGCUGAAAAUAAAGGAAGAGUAAAGGGGUUUAAAGUAGGAAAAGAAGGAGAGGAUAAAAGGUAGACUACGAGGGGGAAGAUAAAGUAGGUAGAAGGAAGACUGAGAAGUAGAAAGUAAAAAGUUAAAGAGAAUAGGAACAUCAAGUAAAGGGAAGACUGUGAGGAGAAAAGAGACAAGGCAAAAGAAAGGUAGAAAGAAGAGGAGGAGAAAGAGAAAUAGGGGACAGAAGAAGGAUUGAACAAGUAGGAGAAUGUAAAAGAAGGAGAAAGAGAAAUAGGAGAUAGAAGGACUGAACAAGGAGAGAAGAGGCAAUAAGGAAAAGAACAGGGUAGCAAAACAGAUAAGGUGAAGAUUAGUAAGGCAACGCAAGAGAGAAUCAGUAACGUAAGCUCUCAACUCAACGCCUUACUAAGAGUGAUUGUGUUGUGCCGGGGCGUGAGAGCCAUUUAGGAGUUGAGUACUUGCAAAGAGAGCCACUCGUGUGUGUGUGUGUGUGUGUGUGGAGCCGGUUGGAUUUCAAGAUGGCGCCGGCCGGUUUUCCAUUCCCAGCUUUUUUUGUUUUCUGGCCUCCUCUUCCUCCUCCCUCGUCCUCCUCCUCCACUUCCUCGUACAGUCUUCCUUCUACGUCCUCCUCCUCUUCUCGACUUUCUUCCUUUAUUUUCAUUUACGUUCCUUUUUCUGUCUAUCCUCCUCUUCCUUCUUCCUCUUCCAUAUACUUCCAAAAAAAUAUAAAGAUUUGCCAUACUCUCUCUCUCUCUCUCUCUCUCUCUCUCUCUCUCUCUCUCUCUCUCUCUCUAAGACUCGCGGUGAUAGGUACGCAGACGCUAAGCUAUUGAUUGAGGGAGGGAGGGAGAGAGAGAGAGAGGGGGGGGGGGGAGGGAGGGAGUGAGUCUUAUGCUUGCCACCACCACCACCUCCUCUCCCUCCUCCUCCUCCUCCUCCUGUUAACGUUCCUCCACCCUGUUCAUCUCCAACAACGUCUAGUGGAGAAUAUUGACGGGGAAGUCUCCUCCCUCGCGUGGAUCAGGUGGAGGUGGAGGCAGGGAGGGAGAUGUCGUGGGUGGGAUGAUGAUGAUGGUGGUGGUGCAUUGCAGUGGUAACCGGCUGCUCCCCCCUCCACCCCUCUCCACUCCUCCACCCGUCUCCCACUCCUCUCCACCUCUCCCACCCGCCCUGCACUCCUCCUCCACGAUACUUCACCUUGUCUCGGUUUCUCCUCCACUUAGUUCAUAAUCCACCUCUUCACACCGUUCUUGAUAUGCCUCCUCUCCCCUCCUUAUGCCGCCUCCUCCUCCACCUGGGUCACAGCGGGGGUGCAGGGGGUAGGGGUUAUCCAGGUUGGUUUCUCAGCCGGCUCUCGACUCUGCCGGCGACACACACACACACACACACCCUGCUAAUACACAUACACGCACACACCACCGUUUAAUGAUGACACAGGCACUCGUUAGGAUGCCGACACACACACACACACACACACACACACACACACACACACUAAGCAGGAGGGAAGACAGCACCAUAAUAGGACGUCCCAAGAUAUUGCAAGAGCUACCACAUGACUUGAGAAUGGAGGAGGAGGUUGCGAAGAAGCAGAGGUGAAGGAAGCAUAUGAAGUGAAGAAAUUGGGAGAAGAGGGGAGAGGAGAGGUGAUAAAUGUUAACUAUGGGGAGGCAAUGCGUGAUGGGAGCUCGGGGAGUAUGGAGUGGGAAGAGUUGAGUGGAAGCUAUGGUGGUAAUGAGGGGCUUUAGAUGCUCUGGGAAGGAAAUUGGGGAGGUUAUGAAUGAUGGAUUGGGGGUUGACUGAUAACAUUUAAGACCUAUUUUCGUCUGUAGCGUAGCGAAUAUAUUUCAACUCAUUUACCAAGACUCACACCUGCGUAAUUACCCCACACAUGUCUUCCCUUACCUGCAUCAUGAAUAAAAGUUUAGUUCAUCAUUUACCUAUUUAAUGCAGUCAAAAGGUGAGCUUACCGAUGUUGCGCAUUAAUUAACUUGGCGGUCUUGUUCGUCACAAACGCGGCCUCCAUUGGCGAUAAUUUGAUUGAUAAUGAGAAUAGUGAUGAAAGAACACAAAUAAAGAUUUGGGAAUGAAAACAGGAAUUAAUGGAAUGGAAAAGAAAAAGAAAUACAGAAGUAGCAAGGAGAGAAAUAGUAUACACGUGAAGAGGAAGGACAAAUAACAGGAAAAGAUAACGAGGAGAAUAUAACGCAACUAGAUAUAGGAAACAGCUGCACAGAAGAGAACGAAUAGGGAAAAAAAUAAUAGUAAACAAUGACAACAAUAAUAGGAAUAAAGAUAAUUUACUACCAAUAUCUACGCAACAAUAUGAAACAAUGCACACGAGAGGAGAUUGAAGAAAAACAAAAAAAUAAAUAAUGACAAUGAUAAUAAGAAUAAAGAUAAUUUACAGAGCACAAUCGGCAGUCUAAACACGUCCCUCUUUUUUACGGUCCCUCUGCCGGCCACAACGACCCUUUGAGAGGCCCUGCGGGACGUUGCGAAAGUCACUGCGGCGGCGGUUGGCUUCUGCUGAGGUUGCCGUACGGAGCCUCGACACAAAGAUCGGCGCCUGACUUGAGAGUGAGUGGCCGUGUGAGUCAGCAACAUUGAAGGCCCCGAGCAAUACCAAGAACACCGACAAUAUUGCUUGUCUGUCAGGGAUGAAACCCCCUCGGGCCAACCCGUUAUUUGGGAGGUUCGGCUGGGUCACGAUGGAGGAGGAGGAAGAGGGGCUGGUGUAGAAAGUCUUGGAUGGGAGGAGACUCAGGAGAGAGAAAGGUUCAGCUAGUAACAGGGCAGGUGGCUUGUUUGUCGUGAGGAGGAGAGGAAGGCUGUAGCUUGUAUGAGAGGGGUGAGGGACCGAUAGAACACGAGAAGGGGAUGGUGUCGGGGGAUGAUAAAUAAUAGGUUAUGGUGUGUGUGUGUAAGGGUGACGGAGAGAUAGAACACGAGAGGGUGAAGCGUGGAAUUGUGGGUGAUCAGACGCGGAGGAGGAAGAAGAGUAUAGCUUAUGUUAGGUGGGGGAAGGGGAAAUCGUAGGGUGAGUGUGAGUGAUUGCACGAGGUGGUGGUUUUGUAGCAUGUGUGUGUGGGGGGGUGAGGGGUGAAGCUGGGGUGACCGUUCGUACGCAUGUCCCUAAUAAGGAGAGCAGGCUGUGAGGGGCUGGGGACGACCCGGCUUCGCUGACCACGCUAAGGAGUUCAGCAGCUAAUGGGGGAGGAAGGGGGGUUGAGAAUAGUCGAGUGUGUCACCUUCAGGGAGAAACUGGGGGCGAGUGGCAUUAUGAUUCUCUCUCUCUCUCUCUCUCUCUCUCUCUCUCUCUCUCUCUCUCUCUCUCUCUCAUGUUUGGUCACGAGCAGAAUUACAGUAGGAAAAAUAGUUGACCUGCCGCCCCCGCUUGACGAUGGAAGGGCAGAGUGCACUGGUGGCAAAGUCUGUCUGUGUUUGUUUGUGUGGGUGUGAGUGUGAGGGUUAGGGUGGCGUCGAGAGUGGGUGUGGUCCGGGGUAGCGUCCCUUUAACACCUGUGUUGUGAAGGGGAGGAGGAAGAGGGGGGUGACUGUGUGUGUGUGUGGUGGUGGUGGUGGAAGGGAAGUAGGAGAGCUUUGUUCACCGUCCCCCCUUACUCCCCCUUUCUCCUCUCUGCCACCUCCUCCCAACUUUUUUUCCUACUCCUCCCCCUCACGUACUUUCUCCACACCUGGAUCGCCAGAAAGUCAUUUUUAACUGCCUUCCUCUUCGCUGAUUUAGUAGACAACUCCGCCACACCACCCCAAGCUAUGAAGGGGGUAUAGGAAAAAAGCAAUGCAUUCUCGAGCAUUUUUGGCAUACGUUGAACACGCUAUCCCCCGUCACCUCUUCCCUCCUUGCUUCACCCGAGGCAAGAUAGAUAGGUAGGGUUCCAUGUCAAGCCAAAUCCCCCCUUAUAAACAGAACUUCCAGAGGUCAGAGUUUCCUAUCGCUAUGGCCACCACAACCUGCCCGGCCCAGUUGUAAGCGAGGAGAGGUACUGCUGGCGUAGCGGCUCUCGAGGCGAGUUGUGGAGGAGGAUUGGGCCGAGAUGAGACAGAAGGAUGAGCUGGCGUUCGUUGUAGUGGGGCUUGAUAUCUUCAACGAUGCGUCUUUGUAGAAUCUUGUGCCCCACUUGUGUCUUGUUGAAAGUGGUAACCGUCCACACCUCACCACCCAACACUGUUCUUCUCCAAUCUCGGGAAAGGACGACACACCGGCGUUAAAGAUUUGUGUGGGUGUAUUUUUAACGAUGGGUCUUUGUAGAAUCUUAUAAAUCCACUUUCGUCUCGUUGAAAUAACCGUUCACAUCUCCCUACCGCUGUUCUCAAAGUUCUGGAGACGAAAAUACCUUUACAAUUUAUGAUGUUGCAGUCCUAUAUUAUCGUCUAUUAUAUAUUACUACUAGUACUGUUCAGCUCAAAUUUGGGAAGGAAAUGCACACACCAGCUUAUAAGUCCCUGUUUUGUCAUUGCAGUCCCAUAGGCUCGACACACUGUUAUCUUUCACCCAUUGUCUUGAAGUGGGCCGAGGGAGAGUCUUUCCCCUUCCUGUUUUGUCUUCCAGUUAAGGGCCGAGUCGAAGCACAAUGGGGUCUCGUAUUUCGAUCGCUUUUGGGGUGGGUGAGGGUGAGGGGGCCAGGAUGUUGUUGACUACAGCCCCAGGAAAGUCAACCCAGAUGCAGUACGAGGAAUCCGAAAACCACCUAAAAAAGGCUUCGGUGUUAUUGUUCAUGGGGUAACCGAGGGAGGAGGUAGUUCAUUGUAGUAUUGUAAAACGGUGAAAUGGCAGCUUGGAGCGAAGGAACGUUUUUGUUACCCGCCGAUAGCUAAAAAGGCUUUCAUGUGGGAUUGUUCAUAUAUCCAUUGUAGUAUUGUAAAGCGGUAUGACGACAACUGAGGCGGCAUUUAGUGUUGAUGUGGCGUCUAGCGUGGGGUCAGAGAGAGAGUGCCGGCGACAUGAGUAGGGUGUUGUAAUAAGGGGGGAUGGGAUGGCCUCACAAGCCUUGGUUCCUGCAACACCAGUUUUUGCUUCAGUUGCCGCUUCUCCACUGCGUUCAGCUCUCUCUAUUCCUCUUUCUCCACGAUGUCGAUAGGAAACUUCAGGGAAACUUUCCUUCUCUCCCUACCAGGCAGUACGAUGCAAACCCCUUGACUCGAAUGCACGGCCCCGAGCUUGCUGGCGUCAUGGAAUAUUCUUGGGCGCCAUGACUCCCUCCUCGACGCCACACCCUCAGUCCACGUUUUCCUCCCUCUCCCCCACCCCAGCCACGCCUUCUUCCUCUCCCUGACGACGCUGCUCUCCCCCCUUACUCCUCCCAAACGACGCUAAACUCCCCCAUCCCUUCAUCUCCCCACGCCACCCACCCCUUCCUCUCAACGACGCUACUCCCUAUGCCUUACUCGCCCCAUCCCACCCCAUCCUCUCCCUGACUGACGCUAUUCUCCCCGCCCCACGCCUUCCUCCCUCUCCCCCCCCCGACGCUUCGCCCCCUCCCCGUCCUCCUCCCACUCCCCCUCGCAGUCAGGGUCACAAUCGCUUGUUUUAGGCGGUUUGUUGCAAUGGUUACGAAAGUCCGAGGAGAAGAAGACGGGUUAUGCAGACUAAGCAUUAAAUGGAAGGACGUAGCCGGCUAGGUUGAAGGGUUAUUUUUGUUGGCAGGUGUGAAUUGAACCUGGUACCGGUAGUCGUAAUAUUCUUUCGAAAAUGAUUUCAUGUAAGAAGUUCAGUUGAAAGUGGGGAGGAGAAGGGAUAAAGAAGGAAA